ACUAACUGGAGGACCGAACCGACUAAUGUUGAAAAAUUAGCGGAUGACUUGUGGCUGGGGGUGAAAGGCCAAUCAAACCGGGAGAUAGCUGGUUCUCCCCGAAAGCUAUUUAGGUAGCGCCUCGUGAAUUCAUCUCCGGGGGUAGAGCACUGUUUCGGCAAGGGGGUCAUCCCGACUUACCAACCCGAUGCAAACUGCGAAUACCGGAGAAUGUUAUCACGGGAGACACACGGCGGGUGCUAACGUCCGUCGUGAAGAGGGAAACAACCCAGACCGCCAGCUAAGGUCCCAAAGUCAUGGUUAAGUGGGAAACGAUGUGGGAAGGCCCAGACAGCCAGGAUGUUGGCUUAGAAGCAGCCAUCAUUUAAAGAAAGCGUAAUAGCUCACUGGUCGAGUCGGCCUGCGCGGAAGAUGUAACGGGGCUAAACCAUGCACCGAAGCUGCGGCAGCGACACUGUGUGUUGUUGGGUAGGGGAGCGU
Molecule: ribosomal RNA, 480 nt
Filed under: Escherichia coli
Lineage: Bacteria; Pseudomonadati; Pseudomonadota; Gammaproteobacteria; Enterobacterales; Enterobacteriaceae
Description: partial 23S ribosomal RNA
Rfam family: Bacterial large subunit ribosomal RNA
Source: RNAcentral